This 402-nucleotide RNase P RNA is filed under the name Sphingomonadaceae bacterium MED-G03. RNAcentral's name for it is "RNase P RNA component class A". It matches the Rfam family "Bacterial RNase P class A". Rfam says of the family: Ribonuclease P (RNase P) is a ubiquitous endoribonuclease, found in archaea, bacteria and eukarya as well as chloroplasts and mitochondria. The record is from RNAcentral. Lineage: Bacteria; Pseudomonadati; Pseudomonadota; Alphaproteobacteria; Sphingomonadales; Sphingomonadaceae.
CCAGAGGGCCGGGCGGCCGCGGCGUGGCGGGUAACUUCCACGGCGAGGAAAGUCCGGGCUUCACGAAACGACGGUGCCGGCUAACGGCCGGCUGGAGCGAUCCAAGGGACAGUGCAACAGAAAGCAGGUCGCCCAGUCUUUACGACUAAGCCUUCGGGCGGGCGAAAUUGAAAGGGUGCGGUAAGAGCGCACCGCGCCUGCGGCAACGCAAGGCGGCACGGUAAACCCCACCGGAAGCAAGACCGAAUAGGGGCGGCGCGCAGCUUUGGCUGCUAGGCAGAUUUCGGCCGAGACCGCCCGGGUUGGUUGCUGGAGGAACGGAGCAAUCCGUUCCCUAGAGGAAUGGUCGCCCAUCUUCCGCAAGGAAGUGGACAGAACCCGGCUUACAGGCCCUCUGGCAUU